Molecule: non-coding RNA, 1065 nt
Organism: Myotis daubentonii (Daubenton's bat)
Lineage: Eukaryota; Metazoa; Chordata; Mammalia; Chiroptera; Vespertilionidae
Source: the annotation of a RefSeq genome assembly
GUGGAGUUUGGAGAACUUGGAGCAAUGGUUUUUGCAAUGACUUAGAACACUGUGUGUCUAACUAUGGGAACGAGAAAUUAACCUUCGGGACCGGAACCAGACUUACCAUUAUGCCCAAUAUCAAGGACCCUGACCCCGCUGUGUACAAGCUGAGAAGCCCUACAUCCAGCAACACUUCCGUCUGCCUACUCACCGACUUUGAUUCUAACGUCAAUGUGUCACAAGACCCAAAGUUCACUGUGGUCAGCUCUAACAGCACGGCGCUGGACAUGAGGGCCAUGGAUUCCAAGAGCAACGGGGCUCUGCACUGGAGUGACAGCCCUGGUUUCAUGUGUGACGACACCUUCGGUAGUGAGACCUUCUACCCCAGCUCAGGAUUUCCCUGUGAUGCCACGUUGAUAGAGAAAAGCUUUGAAACAGAUAUGAACCUAAACUUCCAAAACCUGUCAGUGAUCGGGCUCCGCAUCCUACUCCUGAAAGUGGCCGGCUUCAACCUGCUCAUGACGCUGCGGCUGUGGUCCAGCUGAGGUCAGCAAGAAUGUGAGAGCCCAAUGCUCGCUCCUCACCGCCCUUCUCUCCCUCAAGCAGAGACGCGCCCUCAGCCUCCAUGAAGGAGAAGGCUCCCUCCACCUCUCGGGCCCCACUGACAAUGCCACCAACUGGAUCCGACCAGAUAUUUGCAAUCAAGAUGUUGAAGAGCUGCCAAAUGCUGCUACCACUCCUUCUGUGCCCCCACGGCUGCUUGUCACUGCCCCAUGUUCCCAGCAAAGGCAGAGGCCACUGCAGCUUCUCCUGGCUGUGGCCCCCUCCCCCUGCCAGAGACUGCUUCUGAUGCCCCACUGGGUGGCGGAUCACCAGGGGGUUCUCUCGGGUUCUAGCUCCUGGAGAAUGUUGUGAGCAGCUUAUAUUUUUUUAAAAUAGUGUUCAUAAAGAAAUACAUAUCACCCUUUUCCCCAAGAUGCGGGGGAAAUUAUCUCAUUAUCUAGGCCCUGCUGUGCUGUGUAUCUAAGCCACAUUGUAUAUUCUGCUGCCCUGGCUUCAUUAAAAGUGAUUUGGAAGAGCAAA